Molecule: long non-coding RNA, 380 nt
Organism: Vidua chalybeata
Lineage: Eukaryota; Metazoa; Chordata; Aves; Passeriformes; Viduidae
Exons: 2
Source: RefSeq, a predicted model, not a curated record
CCCCUAAUUUGUCCAAAACCAGGACAAAUAAUUUGGUGGCCCGUACGGGGAGGCCCAGACAAAGUGGAAAAAACUUUAUUCUAAUAAUAUUUUUGGCUUUAACCGUUCUGCGGGAAUAUUGGUAUGUCUUUCUUUAAAGUUAUGAUGUCAUUGGGAGUGAAAGCCUGCCUCUAUUUGUGGUCAUUAGGGUUCUUCGAAGUUUUGAUCGCUUUAUGGUCCCUGGAGUUAUUUUCUUAUCCAGAAGUAGCUCCGACAUCGGACCUACUCCGGGCAGGAGCUCCCCCGGGGUCUGCGAAAGAAGCUGCGUACCCUCUGCGGCGAAGAGAGAUACAGCUCAACCCUCUUGGACUGGUGAAAACAUCUGUGGUCAUCUUGGGCUA